RNAcentral lists this transfer RNA (50 nucleotides) under Corybas unguiculatus. RNAcentral describes it as "partial tRNA-Leu". RNAcentral also lists the same sequence under 4 other names. Lineage: Eukaryota; Viridiplantae; Streptophyta; Magnoliopsida; Asparagales; Orchidaceae. The record is from RNAcentral.
AAAAUCCGUCGAAUUGUAAAAUCGUGAGGGUUCAAGUCCCUCUAUCCCCA